GGGCCAGUAGCUCAGCUGGAUAGAGCAUCUCCCUUCUAAGGAGACGGUCAGGGGUUCGAAUCCCUUCUGGCUCACCA
This 77-nucleotide transfer RNA is filed under the name Flavobacteriaceae bacterium. Its description in RNAcentral is "tRNA-Arg". It matches the Rfam family "tRNA". Rfam says of the family: Transfer RNA (tRNA) molecules are approximately 80 nucleotides in length. Their secondary structure includes four short double-helical elements and three loops (D, anti-codon, and T loops). Further hydrogen bonds mediate the characteristic L-shaped molecular structure. tRNAs have two regions of fundamental functional importance: the anti-codon, which is responsible for specific mRNA codon recognition, and the 3' end, to which the tRNAs corresponding amino acid is attached (by aminoacyl-tRNA synthetases). tRNAs cope with the degeneracy of the genetic code in two manners: having more than one tRNA (with a specific anti-codon) for a particular amino acid; and 'wobble' base-pairing, i.e. permitting non-standard base-pairing at the 3rd anti-codon position. The record is from RNAcentral. RNAcentral also lists the same sequence under 1 other name. Lineage: Bacteria; Pseudomonadati; Bacteroidota; Flavobacteriia; Flavobacteriales; Flavobacteriaceae.